This 73-nucleotide transfer RNA is filed under the name Sus scrofa (pig). It matches the Rfam family "tRNA". Rfam says of the family: Transfer RNA (tRNA) molecules are approximately 80 nucleotides in length. Their secondary structure includes four short double-helical elements and three loops (D, anti-codon, and T loops). Lineage: Eukaryota; Metazoa; Chordata; Mammalia; Artiodactyla; Suidae. The record is from Rfam by way of RNAcentral.
UCCCUGGUGGCCUAGUAGUUAAGGAUUCAGCAUUGUCACUGCUGUGACCUGGGUUUGAUCCCUGGCCCAGGAA